This 293-nucleotide ribosomal RNA is filed under the name uncultured bacterium. RNAcentral describes it as "partial 16S ribosomal RNA". The stretch from base 40 to 286 matches the Rfam family "Bacterial small subunit ribosomal RNA", at positions 105 to 347 of the family's 1533-position model. The record is from RNAcentral.
CGGGUUUCGGUCCGGCCUCCGCCGGCGACCGGCCGGCACGGUGGAGUAACACGUAUGCAACCUGGCCCGCGGACGGGGACAACCCGGGGAAACCCGGACUAAUACCCGGCGGGGCCUGGAGGGGGCAUCCCCUCCCGGCUGAAGGAGGCGACUCCGCCGCGGGAUGGGCAUGCGGCGCAUUAGCUUGUUGGCGGGGCAACGGCCCACCAAGGCGACGAUGCGUAGGGGUUCUGAGAGGAAGGUCCCCCACACUGGAACUGAGACACGGUCCAGACUCCUACGGGAGGCAGCAG